Molecule: ribosomal RNA, 47 nt
Filed under: Tachycixius pilosus
Lineage: Eukaryota; Metazoa; Arthropoda; Insecta; Hemiptera; Cixiidae
Description: partial 16S ribosomal RNA
Source: RNAcentral
GUUUUAUUUACAAUAAAAUUUUAUGCUGUUCGAUUCAGUAGGGUCUG